AAAUGUACGUCAAUGGCGAUUGGCGAGUCCCUUAUAUUCGUGAUUUCGUUGCUCCUCUCUUUCUCUAUCCAGAUCAUACGAGCGCCAAUAGCUUGCUGAUCAGGUUAUACAUUUAUGUAUGUAUAUAUUAUAUUUGUGCUAGGAAGCUCAGUUUGGGACUAUGUUCUGCUGGUAUGUUUUUUCAGAUCUGAAUAUUUGUAAUCCCAUUGCUGAGAUAAGUUCCUCGCUUAAUUUGUUCAUCACUGUCGUGUUAGUAGAACAAUGGAAAAAAUUCAAUCUUUAUAAUUCAAUGCUUUGUUAAUCGGUUCUUUGGGGUGUAAUUAAUGGUGGGUCUCGGAUUAAAUUGGUGGAGGGUCACUGGAGGCAGCGGUUCAUCGAUCCGUUCUCUGAACUGGUAAUCCUCGAUAAAUUACAGAACAGGAAUUGGUCGAUAAACCUCUGCAUCCAGUGCUCAUCCCCACUUUCUCUCUGUGUCUAUAUAUACUCCAUUUGUUCCAGAAAAAAGGUCGGUCGUAUCUGCAAAAAUUACAAACUUUAAAGGCUUUUGUUCGACGUCUACUUCUAUAUCAAGUGUUUAGUUUAUCAGUGAGGGCAGGAUAGCGGAGUUGGGAUGAAUUUUUUUGGAGAAUAUUUUUAUAUUAUCAUUAAUAAAAAGGUGAUGUUUUUAUUUUGAAACAAGAAAUAGGCAAAUUGUGGCAUCAAGGGCGUAUUAUUAUUUUCUUAAUAAAUAUAGACCCGCAAUCAAGAGGGUAUACAUAUAAUCAUAUAUCUAUAUAUCCAUUGAACUAUUAAUAGGGAGUUAUUUUCUGCAAGUCAUAUGGUUAAUUCUACAAUGUAGACUAUGUAGUGAGUGGUUCCAUAUUUAUGCGAGGGACACUUUAUGCUUACAUAGUUUACUAUGAACUUGUUCGUUGUGACAUAGAUUGAUCAGUUCUUCGCCCUUAAUCUUCUUUGUUGUAUUCCUCUAUAUAUCUAGAAAAAAAUUGUCCUUGUUUAUUUUUAUCUAGCACUGUAUCCGAUGAUUCUUUAUGUUAUAUGAACCCAAAAAUUGGAAAACUGAUACUUUUUAUACGGGGUUGAGUGGAAUAGAAAUGUAUGAUAUUGGAAGCAGAUGUACCCAUGUUGUGGUUAAUUUUUAACCAGAGGGAAUUUGUUUUUAGUAUUUUUGUAAUGCAUCUAUAAAGACUUGAAAACGCCUUUUGAUAUCAGUCAAAGUUUCUCAAAUUUUGAAUUAUCCAUUUUUUUGAAUUUUACAUUUAUAAUACACAUGAUAUCAGUUACUGGUUAUUAGUAUUCUUUUUAAUGUUGACUCCUUGAGAAGCAAUGGUGAUGCAGCAUAAAUUUGACUAGAAUAUUAUUGCUCUCUUGCUUCUCCAAGAAAUUCGUCAUUUGAGCUGCUUUUUUGCAAAUUAGUUAGUGUAUUAUGCAGAAUGUAAGACCUUCCCCACUGUCGUCUGUCAAAAUGUGUAUUGUAGAAGUUGAGUUCUAUGCUACCCAGUUGUUAUGUUAUUUUUUGUUAUUGUGGUUGUUAUUGCUGCUGGUGGUCUAAAAUGUGUAUACAUACAUACAUACAUACAUACAUACAUACAUACAUAAAUAUAUAAGUUAAUCUCUGUUUUAGAAACUUGCCAUAUUGGAAGAGUUAUAUGAUGUGUCUGUCAUGAUGGACUUUAUUUGUAUAUAAAUCUGGGGGAAGAAAAAUUACUGAUCCUUUAUUUAUGGGAGGUUAUAAUCACUAUAUGUUCCCGCACCAUAUUAUUGCAGUUAUGUGGGUGGAUGAACAUUACAAACUAUAUCAGUUUUGUAAUAAUAAUGCUAAAAGUCUCAUAAAUUCUUAGUCUUGGAAUAUCAUCUUCUUUGGCUCCGAAAGAAGAGACUUCAAAAGAAAGUUUGGGAAGUGGGAAACUUACCUUCUUUAUUGCUGCAUGAAAGUGAAAUACAUAUAGAAAUGUGAGUACCAAAUUGGAAGAGAAUCUGCUCUGCUCUGCUGAUGUGAUUUCUUUAGAACCUGGGCAUCAAAUUCUACAAGCUUGGCAAAGGUAUUUAGUCAAGAACAAGUUAUUCUGUAGACUGUAAACGUAUAUGGACACUAAUCAAAAUAUAACAAUGUAUCUGUGCAUAAAAAUAGAUGGAUAGAUGAAUUCUUUGCUUUACACAAUCAGAAUCUGAGUUUUUUUUUUUAAUGAGUUAUGAAUUUGAUGCUUGAAUACUUGUUCUUUGGUUCUCCUUUCUUGAUUUUAGGAAUAGAAUAUUAUAAACCACUUUUGUCUUGGGAUUCCUGUGUAAUUGUCAUAUUUAUGCUCCCAAAACACAG
This 2314-nucleotide long non-coding RNA is filed under the name Panax ginseng (ginseng). RNAcentral describes it as "long non-coding RNA (PGIN_LNC013393)". The stretch from base 348 to 458 matches the Rfam family "MIR162_1 microRNA precursor family". Lineage: Eukaryota; Viridiplantae; Streptophyta; Magnoliopsida; Apiales; Araliaceae. The record is from RNAcentral.